GGACAAUUGCUGGCCCCCACUUUGUUUACCAUUCACUGUGUAAGCAGCCUGUUCGAUAAAGGCCUCGACAGUACACUUUAUCAAUCCAGUGAAUCAGGUGAAGUGUCCCCGCUCCUACGCAGAGAUUACACUCAAGCUGGCAAGUGAUCAAUUAUCCAAACCCUUGGCUUGACGCAAGUGAUUUAAACCCAAAAUAUGUAAAUAUCUAUACAUCUGCUAUUAUAUUUAUCCACUAGAGCAGGUAAUGAAUGGGAAGUCGAUGUGUUACGGCUCAAACUUAACUUAACUGUUGAGCCGCAAUGAAGGAGAAUAGCUCCUGUGGCCUCCUGCUGCUGUUUGCUGUUCUUUUUAUGGAAACAGAGGAAAGUUCCUGGAAGGUCACCAGCUGAUAGGACAACACACAUGUGACAAAAAGUGAGAGUAACUUCCAGAGUCCAGGAAGGGCAAAGUCUGCAUAAUGGUAUCGUUAGAACAUCAAUACCAUUAAUCCAAAUUAAAUAGCCGGUUUUAGCAUGUCAAUUCACUCUUUGCCAAGUCCUAUUCUAGGUGUCUGUUGAGUGUAUUAGAGUGUUAAGUCGGGUGUUUGUAACCUUUUUAGGGACAAACAACAUGUUAAAAUGUCCUUGGUCAAACUGAUGAGUCACGCAAGAUGUGCCUAGCAACUUUCACAAAUAGAGAGAGGGCGGGAGAUCCAGAGUGAGAGUCUUUUUACAGCUUGUAAUGUCACAGCAUGCAGCUAAGGAGACAGAAGGAUAAAGGAGACAGAGGACAGAAAACGGGUCAACAAUUUAUGAAAUAAAGGUUAGGUAAAAGGAGAGGGAAGAUGCCAAAAGUAAAACAGAAAGAAGGAGAUUCUAAAGUAAAUUAUUAUAUUAAAAAUUGGCUAUUCGGUUUAGCCUGAAUUUUCAGUAUUUGUCAAGAGAGACUAGAACAGUGAAUGUUGGAAGAAAAGAAAGAUGCCACUGACUUGAACAGACGGAUGAGAUAAAGAGGAUAGAGGUCAGGACAGGCGCAAAGUGUUGGACUGUAAUUUGAGUCUCCCAAGAGGCAGUCUCAACCUCACCACUGUCCAAUCACGCACGCACGCACGCACGCACGCGCACGCACACACACACACACACACACACACACAGUCUGCUGAUACUUUAUACCUUUCCUUCACUUCACUGAAAUUACCUCGGGCUGACAGACAGACCUUCAAACUGCAUUAAAAUCCUAUCAAGGACAUGGCGUAUACUUUAUCUCUCUGUUUAUUCUUUAACAACUGUAAGAAAGAAUGAAAUACAUCUCAAACUGAACAACACACAGUGAAAUAAUCUACAGUACUGUCUGACAAUUGACAAGAGGAGGAACAAGCAAAUACUUUUCUUCAUUUGUCAUUGUUUCGCUUCUCUUGCUUUCUCAUUUUUGCUCCAAACCCUUGUGGGAAUAAGCAAAGAACACAGAAAGAUAGGAUUACUCUCUGACGUCAAGCAGAGAGUUAAGUAGACACACACACACACGGACGCACAAACAAUGUUUGUUCGUAUGAUGAUUGAUUAGUCUCGAUGGGAUCAGCUAAACUUCCUCAGGAAAAGCAGUCGCCCACUUCAUUUACAGAGACUUGUGUCGCUCUUACGUUUUCCAACCAAGGUCUUGGAUUAUGAUUGGAACGGUUUCAUUAUUCUGUUCAAAGACUGAAAGGCGGGGUGGUGGGUAGUGUAUAAGGGGGGGUAGAAGUUGGUGUUUAUACAUGCGUGUGUGUCACAGAUUUCUGAAUACUGGAUCCAGGCCCAAAGCUAACAGGAAAUCCUUUAUGACUAGAAGCGCAAAGAGUAACAUAAACAUCUACUAGAUGCUGGAGUAGAGCACUGGGACAGCGAGGGUAAACACUUAGUGUGGGAGAAUGGCUGUUGGGGAUGUGGAGAGCUGAUUACAUUACAACGGAUGAGAAAUGAAAUAGUGUAUUACUUGCAACAGACAUAUAGAUUACGUAUUCUUCUCCCUGGAUAUUUGUGAUCAAAGACUCCCACUUCUCCACUUCAAAUCCAAUUCACAGUUAGGGUAGUGUGAAGUAUUUUAUAUGAAAUAUUGGUUUGGUUGGUUAAAUAAACAAACACACACAAGAGGGAGGGAUCUAACUUCACUUUAUCUCUAAAAUAGCAGCACGCCACCAUCCAUCCAUCUUUUAUUAACGCUCUGCCUUCUCAUAUUGUUUGACUAGAUUAAGAU
Long non-coding RNA from Gasterosteus aculeatus aculeatus (three-spined stickleback), 2211 nucleotides. Lineage: Eukaryota; Metazoa; Chordata; Actinopteri; Perciformes; Gasterosteidae. The record is from Ensembl.